This 387-nucleotide long non-coding RNA is filed under the name Manihot esculenta (cassava). Its description in RNAcentral is "long non-coding RNA (MESC_LNC005764)". Lineage: Eukaryota; Viridiplantae; Streptophyta; Magnoliopsida; Malpighiales; Euphorbiaceae. The record is from RNAcentral.
CCAACUUCCCCAGGUAGGCAACGAUCAUAUUGCCAUAUAUAAUCAAUUUUUAAAACUCUUAGCAUUCUGAAAUUCUCAAAAAUGAACCUUGCUUGCUGCCUUGUCAUAUUGUACACACUUCCACGACCAUAGAUCUUUCUCAUAUCAGGUUCAAUCAAAUAGAAAGGAGACCGGAGAUACAAAUCACCACUUUUUAGUAUCUUUCUGAUAGCAGGUUCAAUCAAAUAGAAAAGAGACCGGAGAUACAAAUCACCACUUUUUAGUGAAGGCACAUAGAAGUCCGUUUUGCGUCCAUCUUUCCCGAAAAUGCGAGGAUGAAUAGCAACUCUACGCCACUUAUUAUUUGAUGUCAACUGCAGAGUGGAUGAACUACUAUUUGCCUUUGCG